This 24-nucleotide non-coding RNA is filed under the name Drosophila melanogaster (fruit fly). Lineage: Eukaryota; Metazoa; Arthropoda; Insecta; Diptera; Drosophilidae. The record is from RNAcentral.
UGCUCUCGAAUGUAUGCCCGAUAU